RNAcentral lists this non-coding RNA (23 nucleotides) under Arabidopsis thaliana (thale cress). The record is from RNAcentral. Lineage: Eukaryota; Viridiplantae; Streptophyta; Magnoliopsida; Brassicales; Brassicaceae.
GGUCGGGUAUUUUGGGUUCGGGU